AGCAAUAAAUAGAACAAAACCAACACAAGCAAACUCGAAAUCAACAAUGUCGACAAAGUCUAGCACUACCAUCCUUGCCUUUGCCUUUUGUUUCUUGUCUCUCCUCAGCUUCGCUUACUCCAACACCACCGAUGACAAAAUCUACCUCUCCGGCCUGGUCUACUGUGACAACUGCCAAUUGAAGUCUAUGACCGAGAUCAGUAAGAUGAUUCCAGGUGCAAAGGUGCGAUUGGAGUGUAGGGAGGGGGGGGAACAUAAAAUCCAGCCAAGAGGGCGAAACCAACCCGCUUGGACUGUACGUGUUUGAGUUGGACAAUUCUGAGGAGCCUGUGGAUGAUUGUCAAGUGACAGUGCUACACAGCCCUGACCCUGAAUGCAAGAUUUCCCACGAAGUCGACCCUAACAACAAAUCGAAAACUGCGCCGGUGGCCACCCGGAAGAUCAACCUAUUAGAAGGAGACAGCGUCGUUUUCAUCGGUCCAAGCCACCGCGUUUCCUACCCUCUUGGUUUAGUCGUUGAGAAAGCUCGUCCCGAGUGCGAGCAGUUCGCCAAAGCGCGCAAGCAUUUUCAGAACUAAUUUAAGGAAUUGAAGACGAAAACCGUCUGAUAUUAAAUCAAUCUCCAAUUUCAAUGAAUUUUUCUUUUUGAUUGCAAAGAUAGAUAAAUUGUGGUUUAAGAAAUCAACAGUUACGAUUAUGAUA
Molecule: non-coding RNA, 702 nt
Organism: Prunus avium (sweet cherry)
Lineage: Eukaryota; Viridiplantae; Streptophyta; Magnoliopsida; Rosales; Rosaceae
Source: RefSeq, a predicted model, not a curated record